AUUGAACGUUGGCGGCAGGCCUAAUACAUGCAAGUCGAACGGCAGCACAGAGAGCUUGCUCUUGGGUGGCGAGUGGUGGACGGGUGAGUAACGCGUGGGAACGUGCCCUUUGGUACGGAAUAGCCCCGGGAAACUGGGAGUAAUACCGUAUGGUGUCUUCGGACUAAAGAUUUAUCGCCAAAGGAUCGGCCCGCGUUGGAUUAGGUAGUUGGUGGGGUAAUGGCCUACCAAGCCGACGAUCCAUAGCUGGUUUGAGAGGAUGAUCAGCCACACUGGGACUGAGACACGGCCCAGACUCCUACGGGAGGCAGCAGUGGGGAAUUUUGGACAAUGGGCGCAAGCCUGAUCCAGCAAUGCCGCGUGAGUGAAGAAGGCCUCGGUUGUAAGACGUCUUUCUAGUCGAGAAGAAAAGGAACGU
This 418-nucleotide ribosomal RNA is filed under the name uncultured bacterium. RNAcentral describes it as "bacterial SSU rRNA". It matches the Rfam family "Bacterial small subunit ribosomal RNA", at positions 30 to 458 of the family's 1533-position model. The record is from RNAcentral.